RNAcentral lists this ribosomal RNA (1448 nucleotides) under uncultured organism. Its description in RNAcentral is "SSU rRNA". It matches the Rfam family "Bacterial small subunit ribosomal RNA". The record is from RNAcentral.
AACGCUAGCUACAGGCUUAACACAUGCAAGUCGAGGGGCAGCAUUUUAGUUUGCUUGCAAACUGAAGAUGGCGACCGGCGCACGGGUGAGUAACACGUAUCCAACCUGCCGAUAACUCCGGAAUAGCCUUUCGAAAGAAAGAUUAAUACCGGAUAGCAUACGAAUAUCGCAUGAUAUUUUUAUUAAAGAAUUUCGGUUAUCGAUGGGGAUGCGUUCCAUUAGUUUGUUGGCGGGGUAACGGCCCACCAAGACAACGAUGGAUAGGGGUUCUGAGAGGAAGGUCCCCCACAUUGGAACUGAGACACGGUCCAAACUCCUACGGGAGGCAGCAGUGAGGAAUAUUGGUCAAUGGGCGAGAGCCUGAACCAGCCAAGUAGCGUGAAGGAUGAAGGCUCUAUGGGUCGUAAACUUCUUUUAUAUGGGAAUAAAGUUUUCCACGUGUGGAAUUUUGUAUGUACCAUAUGAAUAAGGAUCGGCUAACUCCGUGCCAGCAGCCGCGGUAAUACGGAGGAUCCGAGCGUUAUCCGGAUUUAUUGGGUUUAAAGGGAGCGUAGGUGGAUUGUUAAGUCAGUUGUGAAAGUUUGCGGCUCAACCGUAAAAUUGCAGUUGAAACCGGCAGUCUUGAGUACAGUAGAGGUGGGCGGAAUUCGUGGUGUAGCGGUGAAAUGCUUAGAUAUCACGAAGAACUCCGAUUGCGAAGGCAGCUCACUAGACUGUCACUGACACUGAUGCUCGAAAGUGUGGGUAUCAAACAGGAUUAGAUACCCUGGUAGUCCACACAGUAAACGAUGAAUACUCGCUGUUUGCGAUAUACAGUAAGCGGCCAAGCGAAAGCAUUAAGUAUUCCACCUGGGGAGUACGCCGGCAACGGUGAAAUUCAAAGGAAUUGACGGGGGCCCGCACAAGCGGAGGAACAUGUGGUUUAAUUCGAUGAUACGCGAGGAACCUUACCCGGGCUUAAAUUGCAACAGAAUAUAUUGGAAACAGUAUAGCCGUAAGGCUGUUGUGAAGGUGCUGCAUGGUUGUCGUCAGCUCGUGCCGUGAGGUGUCGGCUUAAGUGUCAUAACGAGCGCAACCCUUAUCUUUAGUUACUAACAGGUGAUGCUGAGGACUCUAGAGAGACUGCCGUCGUAAGAUGUGAGGAAGGUGGGGAUGACGUCAAAUCAGCACGGCCCUUACGUCCGGGGCUACACACGUGUUACAAUGGGGGGUACAGAAGGCGGCUACCUGGUGACAGGAUGCUAAUCCCAAAAACCUCUCUCAGUUCGGAUCGAAGUCUGCAACCCGACUUCGUGAAGCUGGAUUCGCUAGUAAUCGCGCAUCAGCCAUGGCGCGGUGAAUACGUUCCCGGGCCUUGUACACACCGCCCGUCAAGCCAUGAAAGCCGGGGGUACCUGAAGUACGUAACCGCAAGGAGCGUCCUAGGGUAAAACUGGUAAUUGGGGCUA